RNAcentral lists this ribosomal RNA (468 nucleotides) under uncultured bacterium. RNAcentral describes it as "partial 16S ribosomal RNA". It matches the Rfam family "Bacterial small subunit ribosomal RNA", at positions 28 to 507 of the family's 1533-position model. The record is from RNAcentral.
GAUGAACGCUGGCGGCGUGCUUAACACAUGCAAGUCGAACGGUGAAGGCGGAGCUUGCUCUGCUGGAUCAGUGGCGAACGGGUGAGUAACACGUGAGCAAUCUGCCCCUGACUCUGGGAUAAGCGCUGGAAACGGCGUCUAAUACUGGAUACGAGCUGCGAAGGCAUCUUCAGCAGCUGGAAAGAAUUUCGGUCAGGGAUGAGCUCGCGGCCUAUCAGCUUGUUGGUGAGGUAAUGGCUCACCAAGGCGUCGACGGGUAGCCGGCCUGAGAGGGUGACCGGCCACACUGGGACUGAGACACGGCCCAGACUCCUACGGGAGGCAGCAGUGGGGAAUAUUGCACAAUGGGCGAAAGCCUGAUGCAGCAACGCCGCGUGAGGGACGACGGCCUUCGGGUUGUAAACCUCUCUUAGCAGGGAAGAAGCGAAAGUGACGGUACCUGCAGAAAAAGCGCCGGCUAACUACGUG